Molecule: long non-coding RNA, 1954 nt
Organism: Priapulus caudatus
Lineage: Eukaryota; Metazoa; Priapulida; Priapulimorpha; Priapulimorphida; Priapulidae
Exons: 2
Source: RefSeq, a predicted model, not a curated record
GAGUUUGCACAGGAAGACAUAUUUGCCAUAGCACGCCUGCUGAAGUCGAAGCUGAAACAUUUUUGCAUUCCGCAGUGCUGUAUCGCCACGACUCAGGAAGAUGGCGUCAUUGAAAUAGGUCGGCCGAUCGCGAACCUCAGCGAGACGGUGUCUCAGAGCCUCGGCUACGCGUGGAAGCCCAUGACGAACGAGGAACUACACCCGUCGCUGUUCCGCGAACACGCCUGCGAGCGCGAAGAGUUCGUCUCGGCCGCUGCAUACGCGCACGUGCUCCUGGAGGGGGCGCUGUGACGCGCCGCUCCCCGCCAGAGGGCGCCGUGAUGCGUCAUUCCACUACAGGGCACUGUAAUGCACUGCUCCACUAGAGGGCACUGUACAUGUGAUGCAUCACACCACUAGAAGGCACUGUGAUCCAGCACACCACUAGAGCAUGCUAGGAUGCACGUAUACUAGAUAUAGAGCUGGGGUGUGCAUCUAUACCAGUGAGAGUAGUAUGCGUACGCACCCUACCUACUAGAGAAGCACUUUGGUGUAUCCGUUCUCGUGUUCCCGUAAUACUCAUGGCAGGUGUGUCAUCCAGUGAUAAAAAAUUAUGUAUUGAAACGGAUUGUAUUUACGUUAUCUGCUAAAAGUGUAUAUAGAUCGCCGAUGGCUCUAGAAUGUUUUCUGCUCGAAUCUAGAGGUGCUUUGUUGCUGGACUUUUUUGUGAGAUUUUUGCAGAAAACUUCCGACCAGGGGGAAAAUUGCUUUCUGCGCGUUAUGAAUGCUUGCUUAUAUUAUGCAUUUCUUCGAGUAACAACACAUUAUUGCCUCAAAGAAAUGCAGGUGUCGUCCCCACGUGUCAACCCAUAGCUUUAUAAGUGAGUGUUUGCACCAUGUUCAUUGUAGGCACUCCCACAACUAAGUCAAACACGUUGUAGUCUAUAUAACAAUGCUCAUGUUUUGCGUAAGUAUAGUAAAUUCAAGUUUUAUUUUUUAAAUGUUUUACGAUUUCAUUAUUUCUCGGGAAAUCAGUUUGGUCUGUGAGCUUGUUCGCACUACCUUGUAAAUGGUUGGCUCAUGGUUGUAAGCCAACAUGGUCAGACUGUUCCAUCCCUAUUUUGCAGAUAUUUACAGACCGGUAUUGUAAAUAGAAAGUAAUAUCGAAACAGUUCAUUACUUGUCUGUUUGAAAAUGAAGUAAUGUUGAACUGCCAUGUGUAUGUUCACAAAAAUGUGAUAAAUUGCGCUAUUGAUAUUAUAGCUGCAAGUCGAUAUAUACGUGAGCUACAUGUACUUGUCAUCUCAUAGAAUGAACGAAGCUGGUAAUGAAAGAAAAACUGAUGUAAUUAGCAAAGUAGAUCAUAAUAAUUAAAGUGACUUUAUUGUUUAUUACAUAUAUUUCACAAAACAGUUGGAUAAAUAAUGCUAUGUGGUUAGUAUAUUUAAGUAGCCCUCCACUUGGCGUUUACUUCGUCUGCUGGGUUGUAUUAUAUGAAGUCGUUCUAUAGCCAUGUGUCGAAAAUGUUGUAUGGCCACUUGUUUGAUAUUAACGAAUGGUGAAUCUAUAUUACCAACAUUAAUUAGGUUACAUUUUCCGUUAAGCUAAUCCAUUCUACUACGGUGAAAUCUUGGUAAAAACAAGGACCAGAGAAUUCUGUUUUGCAUGUCUUCUCACUGAAACGUGACUCGUAUGUCUAACGCCGCAUUGUUCGUGUCUUCAAACGAUUGUCGGAAUAGUUGCGUGUGCUGCCACGCGAGGUCGCCACUGCCGCCGCUGAGCCGCGCUGUGAGAGUCACGGACGUGCUGCCCUUGAAUUCGUCCUUGAAUGUGAUUGGUUCACUGCCUGGAAUGUUGAUUAGUUCAACUUUAAUUUGAAUUUGAAAUUUGAACUAACAGCUGCAUGCUUUUGUGCGAGAGAAUCGUGAAUACGUGUUUAAUAAAUAAUGACUUUUGUCUGAAACUUCUGACCGAG